CAUGCAAGUCGAGCGGCAGCGGGAAAGUAGCUUGCUACUUUUGCCGGCGAGCGGCGGACGGGUGAGUAAUGCCUGGGAAAUUGCCCAGUCGAGGGGGAUAACAGUUGGAAACGACUGCUAAUACCGCAUACGCCCUACGGGGGAAAGCAGGGGACCUUCGGGCCUUGCGCGAUUGGAUAUGCCCAGGUGGGAUUAGCUAGUUGGUGAGGUAAUGGCUCACCAAGGCGACGAUCCCUAGCUGGUCUGAGAGGAUGAUCAGCCACACUGGAACUGAGACACGGUCCAGACUCCUACGGGAGGCAGCAGUGGGGAAUAUUGCACAAUGGGGGAAACCCUGAUGCAGCCAUGCCGCGUGUGUGAAGAAGGCCUUCGGGUUGUAAAGCACUUUCAGCGAGGAGGAAAGGUUGAUGCCUAAUACGUAUCAACUGUGACG
Molecule: ribosomal RNA, 433 nt
Filed under: Aeromonas hydrophila
Lineage: Bacteria; Pseudomonadati; Pseudomonadota; Gammaproteobacteria; Aeromonadales; Aeromonadaceae
Description: bacterial SSU rRNA
Rfam family: Bacterial small subunit ribosomal RNA
Source: RNAcentral